Molecule: ribosomal RNA, 348 nt
Filed under: Triticum aestivum (bread wheat)
Lineage: Eukaryota; Viridiplantae; Streptophyta; Magnoliopsida; Poales; Poaceae
Description: partial small subunit ribosomal RNA
Source: RNAcentral
AUACAACAGCCUCCCAACAGUCUUGAUUUGAAUGUGCUCAACCUUGGGUUUUUCAACUCGCUCCAAUCCCUGACAGAUUGUCUGAGUCCUAAAACACUACAAGACCUUAUUAAGGGUGUUUUGGAGGAAUUUGAAGGCUAUGACGUUUACAAGCUCAACAGAAUUUUCCUAACUUUGCAGACAUGCAUGAUUGAGAUCCUGAACCAUGCAGGGGGCAAUGGGUAUAAAAUACCCCAUGUAAACAAGGAAAGGCUUGAGGGGCUUGGGCAACUACCUCCAAGAUUAUCAUGCCAUACAGAGGUGUAUGCAAAUGCCCUACACAACUUAGGGCUAAUGGGGAGGGUUUAG